GCUGUAGAGGGACUGGAUGCUUG
This 23-nucleotide non-coding RNA is filed under the name Cricetulus griseus (Chinese hamster). Lineage: Eukaryota; Metazoa; Chordata; Mammalia; Rodentia; Cricetidae. The record is from RNAcentral.